This 159-nucleotide ribosomal RNA is filed under the name uncultured bacterium. RNAcentral describes it as "partial 16S ribosomal RNA". The record is from RNAcentral.
GGAAAAAGCUUGAAGCCAGCCCCGCCCGCGUGCAUGAUGACGGUUCUUCUGGGUGUAAAACUCUGUUGUUACGGAAGAACAGACCGUUACGGUUGAACGCUCCUUGACCGUCCUUGCCAGAACCCCCGGCAAACUACCUGCCACCACCCUCAUAAAUAA